RNAcentral lists this transfer RNA (76 nucleotides) under Candidatus Altimarinota bacterium. RNAcentral's name for it is "tRNA-Lys". It matches the Rfam family "tRNA". From Rfam's summary of the family: Transfer RNA (tRNA) molecules are approximately 80 nucleotides in length. Their secondary structure includes four short double-helical elements and three loops (D, anti-codon, and T loops). Lineage: Bacteria; Candidatus Altimarinota. The record is from RNAcentral.
GGGGUGGUAGCUCAGUCGGUAGAGCAAUGGCCUUUUAAGCCAGUGGUCCUGGGUUCGAUCCCCAGCCACCCUAACA